CCUACGGGAGGCAGCAGUGGGGAAUAUUGCACAAUGGGGGAAACCCUGAUGCAGCGACGCCGCGUGAGCGAUGAAGUAUUUCGGUAUGUAAAGCUCUAUCAGCAGGGACGAAGCUGACGGUACUUGACUAAGAAGCACCGGCUAACUACGUGCCAGCAGCCGCCGUAAUAAGUAGGGGGCAAGCGUUAUCCGGAUUUACUGGGUGUAAAGGGAGCGUAGGCGGCGAUGCAAGCCAGAUGUGAAAGCCCGGGGCUCAACACCGGGACUGCAUUUGGAACUGUGUGUCUGGAGUGUCGGAGAGGCAGGCGGAAUUCCUAGUGUAGCGGUGAAAUGCGUAGAUAUUAGGAGGAACACCAGUGGCGAAGGCGGCCUGCUGGACGAUGACUGACGUUGAGGCGCGAAAGCGUGGGGAGCAAACAGGAUUAGAUACCCGUGUAGUC
RNAcentral lists this ribosomal RNA (440 nucleotides) under uncultured bacterium. Its description in RNAcentral is "partial 16S ribosomal RNA". It matches the Rfam family "Bacterial small subunit ribosomal RNA", at positions 338 to 795 of the family's 1533-position model. The record is from RNAcentral.